AUGCACGCUGGCGGCGUGCCUAAUACAUGCCAGUCGAGCGAACAGACGAGGAGCUUGCUCCUCUGACGUUAGCGGCGGACGGGUGAGUAACACGUGGAUAACCUACCUAUAAGACUGGGAUAACUUCGGGAAACCGGAGCUAAUACCGGAUAAUAUAUUGAACCGCAUGGUUCAAUAGUGAAAGACGGUUUUGCUGUCACUUAUAGAUGGAUCCGCGCCGCAUUAGCUAGUUGGUAAGGUAACGGCUUACCAAGGCAACGAUGCGUAGCCGACCUGAGAGGGUGAUCGGCCACACUGGAACUGAGACACGGUCCAGACUCCUACGGGAGGCAGCAGUAGGGUAUCUUCCGCAAUGGGCGAAAGCCUGACGGAGCAACGCCGCGUGAGUGAUGAAGGUCUUCGGAUCGUAAAACUCUGUUAUUAGGGAAGAACAAAUGUGUAAGUAACUAUGCACGUCUUGACGGUACCUAAUCAGAAAGCCACGGCUAACUACGUG
This 496-nucleotide ribosomal RNA is filed under the name uncultured bacterium. Its description in RNAcentral is "partial 16S ribosomal RNA". It matches the Rfam family "Bacterial small subunit ribosomal RNA", at positions 29 to 507 of the family's 1533-position model. The record is from RNAcentral.